AUGGCAUGAGGUGAAAAGGGAAACAGGUGUAAUUCCUGUACGAUCUCGUCGCUGUGUGGAGCGAGCAUAUUAUGAACCGGAGCUGAUCCGGUGUUCACCACUGUUCGAAAGAAUGGGAAGGGGUAAUAUGCGCAUGAUACAUAUUCCAUGUCUCAUAACGCUUUGAGUCAGAAGACCUGCCUGAUUUUCA
RNAcentral lists this non-coding RNA (190 nucleotides) under uncultured Agathobacter sp. Lineage: Bacteria; Bacillati; Bacillota; Clostridia; Lachnospirales; Lachnospiraceae. The record is from RNAcentral.